AUAAAUAUUCUGGAAGCACAAAAAAUAAAUUUUAUUCCAACAAAUUCACCUGUGCUAUAAAUUAUUGAUAUAUUGGUUACCGCGGCAUACUCGCUUCCGUAUGGCGCUCCACUCCAGGUGGAUGAAUACGCACGUAGCGAGCACUUAAGUACGAUUGUCAUAUGAAAUUCCUACAAUAUAUGCAUACAUAUACAUACAUACAUA
Non-coding RNA from Cinara cedri, 204 nucleotides. The record is from the annotation of a GenBank genome assembly. NCBI's taxonomy places the organism in Eukaryota, Metazoa, Arthropoda, Insecta, Hemiptera, Aphididae.